UCCCUUUUGGGGGGUGGGUGUAGGUGUGUGGAUGGGUAGGGGAGCGUCCUGCACUGGGUGAAGCAGUCGCGUGAGCGGGUGUGGACGGUGUGGGAGUGAGAAUGCAGGCAUGAGUAGCGAAAGCAGAGUGAGAAACUCUGCCGCCGGAUGACCAAGGGUUCCUGGGCCAGGUUAUUCCGCCCAGGGUAAGUCGGGACCUAAGGCGAGGCCGACAGGCGUAGUCGAUGGACAACGGGUUGAUAUUCCCGUACCCGUGUGGAUGCGUCCCUGGCGAGGCUGGUGAUACUAACCGCCCGUGGUGCUGUCCUGCUUUCGGGUGGGGUGGUGGCCAUGCGCGGGAUCUGAGCUGGUAGUAGCCAAGUGAUGGGGUGACGCAGGAGGGUAGCCCCGCCAGUGAGUGGUAGUACUGGUGUAAGCGUGUAGCCAGGAGAGGUAGGCAAAUCCGCUUCUCUGUUAAUGGUGAGACGUGAUGCAUAGCCGAAUGAGGCGAAGUAGGGUGAUCCCAUGCUGCCGAGAAAAGCCUCUAGCGAGUGUCUACGCGGCCCGUACCCCAAACCGACACAGGUGGUCAGGUAGAGAAUACCAAGGCGAUCGGGUGAACUGUGGUUAAGGAACUCGGCAAAAUGCCCCCGUAACUUCGGGAGAAGGGGGGCCGUGUGGCGUGAAGCCCUUCGCGGGCUAGCGUUGUGUGGCCGCAGAGACCAGGGAGAAGCGACUGUUUAUUAAAAACACAGGUCCGUGCGAAGUCGUAAGACGAUGUAUACGGACUGACGCCUGCCCGGUGCUGGAACGUUAAGGGGACCGGUUAGUCCUUCGGGGCGAAGCUGAGAACUUAAGCGCCAGUAAACGGCGGUGGUAACUAUAACCAUCCUAAGGUAGCGAAAUUCCUUGUCGGGUAAGUUCCGACCUGCACGAAUGGCGUAACGACUUCUCCGCUGUCUCAACCACAGGCCCGGCGAAAUUGCACUACGAGUAAAGAUGCUCGUUACGCGCGGCAGGACGGAAAGACCCCGGGACCUUUACUAUAGCUUGGUAUUGGUGCUCGGUUCGGCUUGUGUAGGAUAGGUGGGAGACUGGGAAGCGGUCACGCUAGUGGUCGUGGAGUCAAUCUUGAAAUACCACUCUGGUCGUACUGGGUGUCUAACCUCGGACCAUGAUCUGGUUCAGGGACAGUGCCUGGUGGGUAGUUUAACUGGGGCGGUUGCCUCCCAAAGGGUAACGGAGGCGCCCAAAGGUUCCCUCAGCCUGGUUGGCAAUCAGGUGUUGAGUGUAAGUGCACAAGGGAGCUUGACUGUGAGACUGACGGGUCGAGCAGGGACGAAAGUCGGGACUAGUGAUCCGGCACUGGCUGGUGGAAGCGGUGUCGCUCAACGGAUAAAAGGUACCCCGGGGAUAACAGGCUGAUCUUGCCCAAGAGUCCAUAUCGACGGCAUGGUUUGGCACCUCGAUGUCGGCUCGUCGCAUCCUGGGGCUGGAGUAGGUCCCAAGGGUUGGGCUGUUCGCCCAUUAAAGCGGCACGCGAGCUGGGUUUAGAACGUCGUGAGACAGUUCGGUCCCUAUCCGCCGCGCGCGUUGGAGACUUGUGGAAGGCUGUCCCUAGUACGAGAGGACCGGGACGGACGAACCUCUGGUGUGCCAGUUGUACCGCCAGGUGCAUGGCUGGUUGGCUACGUUCGGAAGGGAUAACCGCUGAAAGCAUCUAAGCGGGAAGCCUGUUCCAAGAUGAGGUCUCCCACCCACUUUGUUGGGGUAAGGCCCCCAGUAGACGACUGGGUUGAUAGGCUGGAGAUGGAAGCACGGUAACGUGUGGAGUUGACCGGUACUAAUAGGCCGAGGGCUUGUCUA
This 1845-nucleotide ribosomal RNA is filed under the name Actinoalloteichus caeruleus DSM 43889. RNAcentral's name for it is "bacterial LSU rRNA". It matches the Rfam family "Bacterial large subunit ribosomal RNA", at positions 1208 to 2925 of the family's 2925-position model. Lineage: Bacteria; Bacillati; Actinomycetota; Actinomycetes; Pseudonocardiales; Pseudonocardiaceae. The record is from RNAcentral.